UUAAACUUCAAUUUAAAAGUUAAAUUAUCCCAAGUAUUUACAAAAAAAAAGAAAAAGAAAGAAGAGUAUUCAUAAACCGGUUUUCUAACUGCUCAAAAACUAGAUAAAAAUAAAAAUAAAUAUUGUUUUCACUUUAAACUUUUUAAUAUGAUCAAUUAAAGAGCUGAAGAGUCCUAACUGGAAACCAAUUAUUGUUUUGUCGAACAUGUCCCC
Molecule: long non-coding RNA, 213 nt
Filed under: Gossypium barbadense (sea-island cotton)
Lineage: Eukaryota; Viridiplantae; Streptophyta; Magnoliopsida; Malvales; Malvaceae
Description: long non-coding RNA (GBAR_LNC008408)
Source: RNAcentral